AACCUGGUUGAUCCUGCCAGUUGUCAUAUGCUUGUCUCAAAGAUUAAGCCAUGCAAGUGAAAGUAUGAACCUUUAUACGGUGAAACUGCGGACAGCUCGAGACUCAGUUGUAAUCUAUUUGGCCAUCCCUCUUCGAAGCGGAUAACUUCGGAAAAGCUGAAGCUAAUACGUGCUGCAAACAAGCGAAAGCUUGGCACUUAUUAGAUUAAGCCAUCCUCCCUCGGGAGUCUGGUGAAUCAUAAUAAUUCAGCGGAUCGCAUGCCCUUGAGCGGCGACAGGCCAUUCGAACUUCUGCUCUAUCAAGUACCGUAGGUAGGAUCGGGGCCUACCUAGCUUGUAACGGAUACGGGGUUUUAGGGAACGACUCCGAAGAAUAAGCAUGGGAUUCAGCUUAUAUUUCCAAGGAAAGCAGCAGGCGCGCAAAUUACCCAAUGCCCAACGGGCGAGGUAGUGACAAGAAAUAUCGAUGCGUGGCUUUUUAGUCAUGAUCGAAAUGAGUACAAUCUAAAAACCUUAACAAGGAGCUACUGGAGGGAAAGUCUGGUGCCAGCAGCCGCGGUAAUUCCAGCUCCAGAAGCGUAUACAAAAGUUGCUGCAGUUAAAAAGCUCGUAGCCGGAGUUCGGCGCUGCUUCAGGGUUCCCUAAUGUUAUUAGGGAUUCCCUUAGGGCAGCGCUUAUGCACGCGGAACCACGGGACCAUUUACUUGGCCUCGCGGGAAAACGUGCCGUUUACCAUGAGUAAAUGGGAGUGUUUAAAGCAGGCGUUUGCCUGAACUUUUCAGCAUGGGAUAAUAGAAUAAGACUGCGUCUUAUUUCGUUGGUUUGCAAGACAGCAGUAAUGAUUAAUAGGGGCGUUCGGGGGCAUCGGUAUUUCUUGGGAAGCGGUGAAAUGCGUAGAUCCAAGAAGGACCACCGGAAGCGAAAGCGUUUGUCAAGGGCGUUCCCAUUGGUCAAGAACGAAAGCUGGAGGAUGGAAGGAGAUUAGACACCUCUGUACUUCCAGCCGUAAACGAUUCGGACUCGGGAUCGGUGAGCGAGUUCUUUUCCCCAUCGGUAUCGUAAGAGAAAUCAAAGUCUUUGCGUUCUGGGGGGAGUAUGGUCGCAAGGCUGAAACUUAAAGGAAUUGACGGAAGAACACACAAGAAGUGGAUACUGCGGUUCAAUUUGACUCAACACGGGGAACCUCACGCGUCCAAGACACAGGUAGGAUUGACAGAUUGAAAGCUCUUUCUUGAUUCUGUGGCGAGUGGUGCAUGGCCAAUCUUAGUUCGUGGAGUGAUUUGUCUGCUUGAUUGCGAUAACGAGCGAGACCUCCGCCUGCUAAAUAGCGCAGUGAAUCUUGUAUUCAUUGACGCUUCUUAGAGGGACAACCACUGCAAGGUGGUGGAAGCUGGAGGCAAUAUUAGGUCUGUUAUGCCCUUAGAUGGAUGCGGCCACACGCGUUAUACAUUGAAGGAGUGAAUGAGUAGAACCUGGCUCGGCAGAGUUGGGUAAUCUUGGAAACUUCUUCGUACUGGGGAUUGCUGCUUGAAAUUUUUCAGCAUGAACGAGGAAUUCCUAGUAACUGUACGUCAUCAACGUACGGUGAUUACGUCCCUGUUCUUUGUACACACCGCCCGUCGCUCGAUCCGAUUGGAUGUAAUGUCGAGUUUGACGGACGCGGCGGAGCCUUGAGCUCUGCUGCGGAAGUUGCGCGAGAUUUUGCAUCUAGAGGAACGAGAAGUCGUAACAAGGUAGCCGUAGGAGGACCUGCAGAAGGAUCA
RNAcentral lists this ribosomal RNA (1763 nucleotides) under uncultured eukaryote. RNAcentral describes it as "partial small subunit ribosomal RNA". It matches the Rfam family "Eukaryotic small subunit ribosomal RNA". The record is from RNAcentral.